GGUCAGGUGGCCGAGUGGUUAUGGCGCUGUGUUCAGGAAUUCGUGUCUUGAACGUCGCAGUGGGCAACCGCAUGGGUUCGAAUCCCAUCCUGAUCA
Molecule: non-coding RNA, 96 nt
Organism: Microstroma glucosiphilum
Lineage: Eukaryota; Fungi; Basidiomycota; Exobasidiomycetes; Microstromatales; Microstromataceae
Source: the annotation of a RefSeq genome assembly